CAAUAGCGUAUAUUAAAGUUGUUGCAGUUAAAAAGCUCGUAGUUGGAUUUCUGGUAGGAGCGACCGUGCCGAACUUGAUUGUUCGAGUAUUGUGUUGUCUUCAGCCAUCCUCGUGGAGAACUUUUCUAACAUUAACUUGUUGGGAUUGGGACCCGCGUCGUUUACUGUGAAAAAAUUAGAGUGUUUAAAGCAGGCAUUAGCUUGAAUACAUUAGCAUGGAAUAAUAAGAUAGGACUUUGGUACUAUUUUGUUGGUUUGCAUACCAAAUUAAUGAUCAACAGGAACAGUUUGAGGAUAUUCGCAUGAACAUGUCAGAGGUGAAAUUCUUGGAUUUUGAUCAGACGAACUACUGCGAAAGCAUUUAUCAAGGAUGUUUUCAUUAA
This 383-nucleotide ribosomal RNA is filed under the name uncultured eukaryote. RNAcentral describes it as "partial 18S ribosomal RNA". It matches the Rfam family "Eukaryotic small subunit ribosomal RNA", at positions 592 to 976 of the family's 1831-position model. The record is from RNAcentral.